AUGCUUGCUUUGGCAGCACAUAUACUAAAAUUGGAACAAUACAGAGACGAUUAACAUGGCCCCAGCACAAGGAUGACACACAAAUCCGUGAAGUGUUCCCAUUUUUU
Molecule: small nuclear RNA, 107 nt
Organism: Choloepus hoffmanni (Hoffmann's two-fingered sloth)
Lineage: Eukaryota; Metazoa; Chordata; Mammalia; Pilosa; Megalonychidae
Source: Ensembl